GCGGGAAUAGCUCAGUUGGUAGAGCACGACCUUGCCAAGGUCGGGGUCGCGAGUUCGAGUCUCGUUUCCUAACA
This 74-nucleotide transfer RNA is filed under the name Klebsiella michiganensis. Its description in RNAcentral is "tRNA-Gly". The stretch from base 4 to 69 matches the Rfam family "tRNA". From Rfam's summary of the family: Transfer RNA (tRNA) molecules are approximately 80 nucleotides in length. Their secondary structure includes four short double-helical elements and three loops (D, anti-codon, and T loops). Further hydrogen bonds mediate the characteristic L-shaped molecular structure. tRNAs have two regions of fundamental functional importance: the anti-codon, which is responsible for specific mRNA codon recognition, and the 3' end, to which the tRNAs corresponding amino acid is attached (by aminoacyl-tRNA synthetases). tRNAs cope with the degeneracy of the genetic code in two manners: having more than one tRNA (with a specific anti-codon) for a particular amino acid; and 'wobble' base-pairing, i.e. permitting non-standard base-pairing at the 3rd anti-codon position. Lineage: Bacteria; Pseudomonadati; Pseudomonadota; Gammaproteobacteria; Enterobacterales; Enterobacteriaceae. The record is from RNAcentral.